GAGGGUAUAGCUCAGGGGUAGAGCGCAUGCUUAGCAUGUACGAGAUCUUGGGUUCAAUUCCCAGUACCUCCA
RNAcentral lists this transfer RNA (72 nucleotides) under Camelus bactrianus (Bactrian camel). It matches the Rfam family "tRNA". Rfam says of the family: Transfer RNA (tRNA) molecules are approximately 80 nucleotides in length. Their secondary structure includes four short double-helical elements and three loops (D, anti-codon, and T loops). Lineage: Eukaryota; Metazoa; Chordata; Mammalia; Artiodactyla; Camelidae. RNAcentral also lists the same sequence under 2 other names. The record is from Rfam by way of RNAcentral.